AAUCCUUGAAAAAGAAGAUCAAGAAACUUCGAAGAAGCUUUCUUGAUGGAGGGGAGCGGCAGACGGGUGAGUAACGCGUGGGAAUCUACCGUACCCUACGGAAUAGCUCUGGGAAACUGGAGGUAAUACAGUAGACGCCCUAACGGGGAAAGAUUUAUCGGGGUAUGAUGAGCCCGCGUUGGAUUAGCUAGUGGGUGGGGUAAAGGCCUACCAAGGCGACGAUCCAUAGCUGGUCUGAGAGGAUGAUCAGCCACAUUGGGACUGAGACACGGCCCAAACUCCUACGGGAGGCAGCAGUGGGGAAUAUUGGACAAUGGGCGCAAGCCUGAUCCAGCCAUGCCGCGUGAGUGAUGAAGGUCUUAGGAUUGUAAAGCUCUUUCACCGAUGAAGAUAAUGACGGUAGUCGGAGAAGAAGCCCCGGCUAACUUCGUGCCAGCAGCCGCCGUAA
Molecule: ribosomal RNA, 448 nt
Filed under: uncultured bacterium
Lineage: Bacteria
Description: partial 16S ribosomal RNA
Rfam family: Bacterial small subunit ribosomal RNA
Source: RNAcentral